This 1285-nucleotide ribosomal RNA is filed under the name uncultured bacterium. RNAcentral's name for it is "bacterial SSU rRNA". It matches the Rfam family "Bacterial small subunit ribosomal RNA", at positions 94 to 1399 of the family's 1533-position model. The record is from RNAcentral.
AGUGGCGGACGGGUGAGUAACGCGUGAGGAACCUGCCUUGAAGGGGGGGACAACAGUUGGAAACGACUGCUAAUACCGCAUGACGCAUAGGGAUCGCAUGAUCUUUAUGCCAAAGAUUUAUCGCUUCAAGAUGGCCUCGCGUCUGAUUAGCUAGUUGGCGGGGUAACGGCCCACCAAGGCGACGAUCAGUAGCCGGACUGAGAGGUUGAACGGCCACAUUGGGACUGAGAUACGGCCCAGACUCCUACGGGAGGCAGCAGUGGGGAAUAUUGGGCAAUGGGCGCAAGCCUGACCCAGCAACGCCGCGUGGAGGAAGAAGGUUUUCGGAUUGUAAACUCCUGUCUUAAGGGACGAUAAUGACGGUACCUUAGGAGGAAGCUCCGGCUAACUACGUGCCAGCAGCCGCGGUAAUACGUAGGGAGCGAGCGUUGUCCGGAAUUACUGGGUGUAAAGGGAGCGUAGGCGGGAUUGUAAGUCAGAUGUGAAAACUAUGGGCUUAACCCAUAGACUGCAUUUGAAACUGUAGUUCUUGAGUGAAGUAGAGGUAAGCGGAAUUCCUAGUGUAGCGGUGAAAUGCGUAGAUAUUAGGAGGAACAUCGGUGGCGAAGGCGGCGUACUGGGCUUUUACUGACGCUGAGGCUCGAAAGCGUGGGGAGCAAACAGGAUUAGAUACCCUGGUAGUCCACGCUGUAAACGAUGAUUACUAGGUGUGGGGGGACUGACCCCUUCCGUGCCGCAGUUAACACAAUAAGUAAUCCACCUGGGGAGUACGACCGCAAGGUUGAAACUCAAAGGAAUUGACGGGGGCCCGCACAAGCAGUGGAGUAUGUGGUUUAAUUCGAAGCAACGCGAAGAACCUUACCAGGUCUUGACAUCGAGUGACGAGCUAAGAGAUUAGCUUUCCUUUCGAGGCACGAAGACAGGUGGUGCAUGGUUGUCGUCAGCUCGUGUCGUGAGAUGUUGGGUUAAGUCCCGCAACGAGCGCAACCCUUAUUUUCAGUUACUAACACGUAGAGGUGAGGACUCUGAAGAGACUGCCGGGGACAACUCGGAGGAAGGUGGGGACGACGUCAAAUCAUCAUGCCCCUUAUGACCUGGGCUACACACGUGCUACAAUGGCCACCACAGAGAGGGGCGAACCUGCAAGGGGGAGCGGAUCUCAAAAAAGUGGUCCCAGUUCGGAUUGUGGGCUGCAACCCGCCCACAUGAAGUCGGAGUUGCUAGUAAUCGCGGAUCAGCAUGCCGCGGUGAAUACGUUCCCGGGCCUUGUACACACCGCCCGUCA